RNAcentral lists this ribosomal RNA (1492 nucleotides) under Clostridium botulinum. RNAcentral describes it as "bacterial SSU rRNA". It matches the Rfam family "Bacterial small subunit ribosomal RNA". Lineage: Bacteria; Bacillati; Bacillota; Clostridia; Eubacteriales; Clostridiaceae. The record is from RNAcentral. RNAcentral also lists the same sequence under 1 other name.
AGAGUUUGAUCCUGGCUCAGGACGAACGCUGGCGGCGUGCUUAACACAUGCAAGUCGAGCGAUGAAGCUUCCUUCGGGGAGUGGAUUAGCGGCGGACGGGUGAGUAACACGUGGGUAACCUGCCUCAAAGUGGGGGAUAGCCUUCCGAAAGGAAGAUUAAUACCGCAUAAUAUAAGAGAAUCGCAUGAUUUUCUUAUCAAAGAUUUAUUGCUUUGAGAUGGACCCGCGGCGCAUUAGCUAGUUGGUAAGGUAACGGCUUACCAAGGCAACGAUGCGUAGCCGACCUGAGAGGGUGAUCGGCCACAUUGGAACUGAGACACGGUCCAGACUCCUACGGGAGGCAGCAGUGGGGAAUAUUGCGCAAUGGGGGAAACCCUGACGCAGCAACGCCGCGUGGGUGAUGAAGGUCUUCGGAUUGUAAAGCCCUGUUUUCUAGGACGAUAAUGACGGUACUAGAGGAGGAAGCCACGGCUAACUACGUGCCAGCAGCCGCGGUAAUACGUAGGUGGCGAGCGUUGUCCGGAUUUACUGGGCGUAAAGGGUGCGUAGGCGGAUGUUUAAGUGGGAUGUGAAAUCCCCGGGCUUAACCUGGGGGCUGCAUUCCAAACUGGAUAUCUAGAGUGCAGGAGAGGAAAGCGGAAUUCCUAGUGUAGCGGUGAAAUGCGUAGAGAUUAGGAAGAACACCAGUGGCGAAGGCGGCUUUCUGGACUGUAACUGACGCUGAGGCACGAAAGCGUGGGUAGCAAACAGGAUUAGAUACCCUGGUAGUCCACGCCGUAAACGAUGGAUACUAGGUGUAGGGGGUAUCAACUCCCCCUGUGCCGCAGUUAACACAAUAAGUAUCCCGCCUGGGGAGUACGGUCGCAAGAUUAAAACUCAAAGGAAUUGACGGGGGCCCGCACAAGCAGCGGAGCAUGUGGUUUAAUUCGAAGCAACGCGAAGAACCUUACCUGGACUUGACAUCCCUUGCAUAGCCUAGAGAUAGGUGAAGCCCUUCGGGGCAAGGAGACAGGUGGUGCAUGGUUGUCGUCAGCUCGUGUCGUGAGAUGUUAGGUUAAGUCCUGCAACGAGCGCAACCCUUGUUAUUAGUUGCUACCAUUAAGUUGAGCACUCUAAUGAGACUGCCUGGGUAACCAGGAGGAAGGUGGGGAUGACGUCAAAUCAUCAUGCCCCUUAUGUCCAGGGCUACACACGUGCUACAAUGGUAGGUACAAUAAGACGCAAGACCGUGAGGUGGAGCAAAACUUAUAAAACCUAUCUCAGUUCGGAUUGUAGGCUGCAACUCGCCUACAUGAAGCUGGAGUUGCUAGUAAUCGCGAAUCAGAAUGUCGCGGUGAAUACGUUCCCGGGCCUUGUACACACCGCCCGUCACACCAUGAGAGCUGGUAACACCCGAAGUCCGUGAGGUAACCGUAAGGAGCCAGCGGCCGAAGGUGGGAUUAGUGAUUGGGGUGAAGUCGUAACAAGGUAGCCGUAGGAGAACCUGCGGCUG